This is a non-coding RNA of Acanthosepion pharaonis, 114 nucleotides long. NCBI's taxonomy places the organism in Eukaryota, Metazoa, Mollusca, Cephalopoda, Sepiida, Sepiidae. The record is from the annotation of a GenBank genome assembly.
UACAGCCAUGACACGUCGAAACACCGGUUCUCAUACGAUCACCAAAGUUAAGCAAGAUCGAGUGUGGUUAGUAUCUAGAUGGGUGACCAUCUUUGGAAUACCAGGUGAUGUAAG